This 676-nucleotide ribosomal RNA is filed under the name uncultured bacterium. RNAcentral describes it as "bacterial SSU rRNA". It matches the Rfam family "Bacterial small subunit ribosomal RNA", at positions 139 to 813 of the family's 1533-position model. The record is from RNAcentral.
GGGGACAACCCGCCGAAAGGCGGGCUAAACCCGCGUACAUGCCACCGGGGCAUCCCGGAGGCAGGAAAGGCUUCGGCCGGACAGGGAUGGGCAUGCGGCGCAUUAGGCAGUAGGCGGGGUAACGGCCCACCUAACCGACGAUGCGUAGGGGUUCUGAGAGGAAGGUCCCCCACACUGGUACUGAGACACGGACCAGACUCCUACGGGAGGCAGCAGUGAGGAAUAUUGGUCAAUGGUCGGGAGACUGAAUCAGCCAAGCCGCGUGAGGGAUGAAGGUACAGAGUAUCGUAAACCUCUUUUGUCAGGGAACAAAGGCGGGGACGUGUCCCCGGAUGAGUGUACCUGAAGAAAAAGCAUCGGCUAACUCCGUGCCAGCAGCCGCGGUAAUACGGAGGAUGCGAGCGUUAUCCGGAUUUAUUGGGUUUAAAGGGUGCGCAGGCGGUCUGUUAAGUCAGCGGUCAAAGCCCGGGGCUCAACCCCGGCCCGCCGUUGAAACUGGCAGUCUCGAGUUGGAGAGAAGUAUGCGGAAUGCGCGGUGUAGCGGUGAAAUGCAUAGAUAUCGCGCAGAACUCCGAUUGCGAAGGCAGCAUGCCGGCUCCACACUGACGCUGAGGCACGAAAGCGUGGGUAUCGAACAGGAUUAGAUACCCUGGUAGUCCACGCAGUAAACGAUGAA